UCUCUCUGGCUUGGGAUGUCUUCUCUUCUCCAUUUCUCACCCGCAAAACCUCCACAAAACCCCUCUAUUUCACCUUCCCAAUCCAAAUGGAGCGGCCUCCGCAAACUGCUCCCCCGUCAUCCUCCCCACCCCAUAACCCGAAACCUAAUCUCAAAACCCCCAUUACUUAUCUUCUCCAAUCUCAAAGAACCACCUUUCCCGCUGUUCCACCACCACCCCACUCCUCUCUCAAACAACUCCUCCUUCUCCACCGUCACCUACGCCGGACGCAGCAAGAAAAAGCCCGGAGGCCCCUCUCCCGGCCGCAUCGAGGGAAGCGGCGAGCUCCGCCGCGUCGCCAAGGAAAACGCCCGCCGCCGCUCCCGGCGAAUUGCCGAAAACCGCUUCUUCCGCCGCUCCCGCUCCGCCGCCGAGCAAGCCGACUCCUUUACUGAGGAUGAACUGGAGAUGAUUGGCCUCGGCUACGAUCGCGCCGUCCGAUUCAUGUCGAAGGAUCACCCCAUGCUUCGACACCCCCAUGACUGGUACAAGUACGGCCGAUACGGCCCUUACUCCUGGAGAGGAAUUGUCGUCGGCCCCCCCAUCCGCGGCCGCUUCACCGACGAGCGCGUCAGCAUCAUCGGCGAGGUUCGCGAUCACGAAGAGUUUGAGAAGAUUGAACAGUUCGAGAUGGCCAAUGACUACUCCCGCCAUGUCCUGGAUCUCAAUCCCUCCGUUGGCCGUCGCCUUUACUGGGUUUUUGUCCGACAUCCAAAAUGGAGGUCCAGCGAGCUCCCAUGGCAGCAGUGGACUCUGGUCUCCGAGGUUGCGGUUGAGGCCGGCGAGAAGGAUUGGAUUGAUAAAUGGAGCUUGAUGGGUCGAUUAGGGAACAGAAGUCGAGCAUAUGUCACUCAGUGCGCAGCUUGGAUGAGACCUGAUAUCAUUUAUGUUAAGAAGCCGCUUUAUCAGUGCCGUUUUGAGCCCCAAGACGAGUUUUUUAAGCAGCUAUGGCCGCUGCUGGAUCCGAACACAGAGAACCAGUUUAAAUUCGAGCUGAGGAGAGAGGAAAAAGGUAGGGUUUUUGUGGAGGACUGCACCUACUUUGGUGGGCUGUGUAAGAUUGUCAAGAUUAGUUCUAAAGCCUAUGUGGAUGAUGUGGUGAAUGCUUAUCAGAAGUUGAGUGAGGAAGGAAAAUCACAGUGCUUGGAGUUCUUACUGAGGAACCAUCCAGUGGAGUUACUUCACCCUUACACUAAGGAAUGGAAGGCGAAGUUAGAGGAGAUGGAGUUGGGUUGUGAUGCGCCUGAUGAGAGUGAUGAUGAUGGUGGUGGCAACGAAGAAGAAGAAAUUGCUGAAUGGAUUGAGGAUGAUGACUCUGGUGGUGAUUAUGAAGAUGAUGAGGAGGAGGGGGAGGAGGAUUAUGUUUUUGAGGCUUCAGGAGGGUAUGAUGAAGUGAUUGAUGCGGGUGAAGAAGAAGAAGAUAAUGAUGAAGAAGAGAGAAUAGAUCCUGAAGAAACUCGGGAAUACUGGGAUGAGCAAUGGGAGAAGGCGCUGAGGAGCUCGCAGACAAUGGAGGAAAUGGUGAAAAAGAGGCUUGAUGCAUCUGAAAAGAGCUACAAGAGGAAGAUGGAGGAGGCGAGUAUGAAAGAGGACGAAAACUAUGAAUCAAUUCAGAGCAAUGUGAAUGCAGAAUUGGAGCAGAUUAAAGCGGAAUGGAAGAAAGAGGAGUUCAAAUGGGCCAAAAGGAAGGUAAAGAAAGGAAAGUUGCCUCCUGAGCUGUUCCUAAAAUCUGCUGUCAGGCCGUUUACCUACCGAAAUCUUGUUAAAGAGAUUGUUUUGAUGAGACAUGCUAUUAUCGAUGGGGAUAUUAGUUUAAAAACCUGAGUAAAGCACAAUUUUUGUGGAUUUUUUUGUUAUUAAUGGAGAAGAACACGCAUUUGUUAUCUGGCUGCUUCAAAUCAUGUGGAACAGAAAUUUUGAAUCGGAUUUAUUAAAGUAGAAGCUACUGAAAAUCUGAUUGCUUGCUUAUCAGUGUGUUGAGUUAGGAAAACAUAUAUUAAGGGCUCGUUUGGCGCCACAUUUUUCAGGCGGCGCGGUCAGAAAAUGCACAUUGACCUGUUUCGUUAUCGCGUCACAGCGGCAUUGUUUUGAAUUUUUUUUUUAAAACGCGGCCACAGGUUUGACUACACGGCCCGCAUUUCUCCUUUCUCAACCGCAAACACAUUUACCCUCAUGGCCUCUUCUCAUGUUACCGGUCUUUUUCAACCCUGCUCCCUCUCCCGCAAUUCUUCUGCCCUGGGUAUAUAUCUCUCAUGGAUCCGUGGCUCCGGUGGCUAUUUUCGGUUGUCCAGGUGGUGCUCCGGCUAUAUUCCUCGUUGGAGGUGUUGUUUGUCUCCACAGGUCCAGGUGGUGCUCCGCUAUAGCUCGGCCUCCACCGAGAUGC
Molecule: RNA transcript, 2422 nt
Organism: Phalaenopsis equestris
Lineage: Eukaryota; Viridiplantae; Streptophyta; Magnoliopsida; Asparagales; Orchidaceae
Exons: 3
Source: RefSeq, a predicted model, not a curated record